Molecule: ribosomal RNA, 439 nt
Filed under: uncultured bacterium
Lineage: Bacteria
Description: partial 16S ribosomal RNA
Rfam family: Bacterial small subunit ribosomal RNA
Source: RNAcentral
CCUACGGGAGGCAGCAGUGGGGAAUAUUGCACAAUGGGCGAAAGCCUGAUGCAGCAACGCCGCGUGAGCGAUGAAGGCCUUCGGGACGUAAAGCUCUGUCCUCAAGGAAGAUAAUGACGGUACUUGAGGAGGAAGCCCCGGCUAACUACGUGCCAGCAGCCGCGGUAAUACGUAGGGGGCUAGCGUUAUCCGGAAUUACUGGGCGUAAGGGGUGCGUAGGUGGUUUCUAAAGUCAGAGGUGAAAGGCUACGGCUAAACCAUAGUAAGCCUUUGAAACUGGGGAACUUGAGUGCAGGAGAGGAGAGUGGAAUUCCUAGUGUAGCGGUGAAAUGCGUAGAUAUUAGGAGGAACACCAGUGGCGAAGGCGGCUCUCUGGACUGUAACUGACACUGAGGCACGAAAGCGUGGGGAGCAAACAGGAUUAGAUACCCCUGUAGUC